This 117-nucleotide ribosomal RNA is filed under the name Bacillus inaquosorum. The record is from RNAcentral. Lineage: Bacteria; Bacillati; Bacillota; Bacilli; Caryophanales; Bacillaceae.
UCAGGAGCUACCGUGCGAAGAGGUCACACCCGUUCCCAUACCGAACACGGAAGUUAAGCUCUUCAGCGCCGAUGGUAGUCGGGGGUUUCCCCCUGUGAGAGUAGGACAUCGCCAGGC